GAUGAACGCUGACAGAAUGCUUAACACAUGCAAGUCUACUUGAAUUUGGGUUUUUUAACUUCGAUUUGGGUGGCGGACGGGUGAGUAACGCGUAAAGAACUUGCCUCACAGUUAGGGACAACAUUUGGAAACGAAUGCUAAUACCUGAUAUUAUGAAUAUAUGGCAUCAUAUAAUUAUGAAAGCUAUAAGCGCUGUGAGAGAGCUUUGCGUCCCAUUAGCUAGUUGGAGAGGUAACGGCUCACCAAGGCGAUGAUGGGUAGCCGGCCUGAGAGGGUGAACGGGCACAAGGGGACUGAGACACGGCCCUUACUCCUACGGGAGGCAGCAGUGGGGAAUAUUGGACAAUGGACCAAGAGUCUGAUCCAGCAAUUCUGUGUGCACGAUGACGUUUUUCGGAAUGUAAAGUGCUUUCAGUUGGGAAGAAAAAAAUGACGGUACCAACAGAAGAAGUGACGGCUAAAUACGUG
Molecule: ribosomal RNA, 468 nt
Filed under: uncultured bacterium
Lineage: Bacteria
Description: partial 16S ribosomal RNA
Rfam family: Bacterial small subunit ribosomal RNA
Source: RNAcentral